UGGAACUAAGCUCUUUUAGUAAUUUUCUAGCAGGAUUUCUAUAAAGGAAAUCCCCC
Molecule: small nuclear RNA, 56 nt
Organism: Larimichthys crocea (large yellow croaker)
Lineage: Eukaryota; Metazoa; Chordata; Actinopteri; Sciaenidae
Gene: U7
Rfam family: U7 small nuclear RNA
About the family: Animal histone pre-mRNAs are spliced by a different mechanism than nuclear pre-mRNAs and self-splicing introns. This processing involves the U7 snRNP, which contains only one RNA species: U7.
Source: Ensembl